RNAcentral lists this ribosomal RNA (1519 nucleotides) under Tetraphleps parallelus. RNAcentral's name for it is "SSU rRNA". It matches the Rfam family "Eukaryotic small subunit ribosomal RNA", at positions 194 to 1636 of the family's 1831-position model. Lineage: Eukaryota; Metazoa; Arthropoda; Insecta; Hemiptera; Anthocoridae. The record is from RNAcentral.
GGUAGGGGCGCUUUUAUUGGUCCAAGACCAUUCGCCCGGUCCUCCGGGCGUCUCCUUGAUGAAUCCAAAUAACAAAUCAGAUCGCAUGGUCUUCGUACCGGCGACUUAUCUUUCAAAUGCCUGACUUAUCAACUGACGAUGGUAGACUCUGUGUCUACCAUGGCUCCUACGGGUAACGGGGAAUCAGGGUUCGAUUCCGGAGAGGGAGCCUGAGAAACGGCUACCACAUCCAAGGAAGGCAGCAGGCACGCAAAUUACCCACUCCCGGCACGGGGAGGUAGUGACAAAAAAUAACGAUACGGGACUCGAUAUGAGGCCCCGUAAUCGGAAUGAGUACACUUUAAACCCUUAUUCAAAUAUCAAUUGGAGGGAAAGUUCUGGUGCCAGCAGCCGCGGUAAUUCCAGCUCCAAUAGCGUAUAUUAAAGUUGUUGCGGUUAAAAAGCUCGUAGUUGGUUCUGCGUCCCACGCUGUCGGUACACCUUUUGUUGGUGACACUGGCAUGCCGUGGUAUGUCCUGUCGGUGGCGGCCUUUGGUGGGCCCUAGCGCUUCGGAUCAAACCGUCGUGCGAAGGUCUACCUGGUCGCCGGCUACUAUCCUACCGCGGUGCUCUUCAUUGAGUGUCGAGGUAGGCCGACACGUUUACUUUGAACAAAUUUGAGUGCUUAAAGCAGGCAAAAAUCUCUGCCUGAAUAGUGGUGCAUGGAAUAAUGGAACAGGCCCUUGGUUCUAUUUUGUUGGUCUUCGGAACACAAGGAAAUGAUCAAUGUGGACAGGCGGGGGCAUUCGUAUUGCGGCGUUAGAGGUGAAAUUCUUGGAUCGUCGCAAGACGCACUAGAGCGAAAGCAUUUGCCAAGUAUGUCCUAAUUGAUCAAGAACGAAAGUUAGAGGUUCGAAGGCGAUCAGAUACCGCCCUAGUUCUAACCAUAAACGAUGCCAGCCAGCGAUCCGCCGAUGUUCCUCCGAUGACUCGGCGGGGAGCUUUCUUCGGGAAACCAAAGCUUUUGGGUUCCGGGGGAAGUAUGGUUGCAAAGCUGAAACUUAAAGGAAUUGACGGAAGGGCACCACAAGGAGUGGAGCCUGCGGCUUAAUUUGACUCAACACGGGAAACCUCACCAGGUCAAGACAUUGGAAUGAUUGACAGAUUGAUAGCUCUUUCUUGAUUCAGUGGGUAGUGGUGCAUGGCCGUUCUUAGUUGGUGGAUCGAUUUGUCUGGUUAAUUCCGAUAACGAACGAGACUCUAGCCAAUUAACUAGACGUUUCCGGUAUCGAAGCUACCGGCGAUAUAUUAUCUUCUUAGGGGGACAGGCGGCUCUUAGCCGCACGAGAUUGAGCAAUAACAGGUCUGUGAUGCCCUUAGAUGUCCUGGGCCGCACGCGCGCUACACUGAAGGAAUCAGCCUGUUCGUUCCCUUGGCCGAAAGGCCCGGGUAACCCGCUGAACCUCCUUCGUGCUAGGAAUUGGGGCUUGCAAUUGUUCCCCAUGAACGAGGAAUUCCUAGUAAGCGCGAGUCAUAAGCU